GACGAACGCUGGCGGCGUGCCUAAUACAUGCAAGUAGAACGCUGAAGGAGGAGCUUGCUCUUCUGGAUGAGUUGCGAACGGGUGAGUAACGCGUAGGUAACCUGCCUGGUAGCGGGGGAUAACUAUUGGAAACGAUAGCUAAUACCGCAUAAUAGCAGUUGUUGCAUGACAACUGUUUAAAAGGUGCAAUUGCACCACUACCAGAUGGACCUGCGUUGUAUUAGCUAGUUGGUGGGGUAACGGCUCACCAAGGCGACGAUACAUAGCCGACCUGAGAGGGUGAUCGGCCACACUGGGACUGAGACACGGCCCAGACUCCUACGGGAGGCAGCAGUAGGGAAUCUUCGGCAAUGGACGAAAGUCUGACCGAGCAACGCCGCGUGAGUGAAGAAGGUUUUCGGAUCGUAAAGCUCUGUUGUAAGAGAAGAACGAGUGUGAGAGUGGAAAGUUCACACUGUGACGGUAUCUUACCAGAAAGGGACGGCUAACUACGUGCCAGCAGCCGCGGUAAUACGUAGGUCCCGAGCGUUGUCCGGAUUUAUUGGGCGUAAAGCGAGCGCAGGCGGUUAGAUAAGUCUGAAGUUAAAGGCUGUGGCUUAACCAUAGUACGCUUUGGAAACUGUUUAACUUGAGUGCAAGAGGGGAGAGUGGAAUUCCAUGUGUAGCGGUGAAAUGCGUAGAUAUAUGGAGGAACACCGGUGGCGAAAGCGGCUCUCUGGCUUGUAACUGACGCUGAGGCUCGAAAGCGUGGGGAGCAAACAGG
This 763-nucleotide ribosomal RNA is filed under the name uncultured Streptococcus sp. RNAcentral's name for it is "bacterial SSU rRNA". It matches the Rfam family "Bacterial small subunit ribosomal RNA", at positions 28 to 776 of the family's 1533-position model. The record is from RNAcentral. Lineage: Bacteria; Bacillati; Bacillota; Bacilli; Lactobacillales; Streptococcaceae.